This 524-nucleotide ribosomal RNA is filed under the name uncultured bacterium. Its description in RNAcentral is "bacterial SSU rRNA". It matches the Rfam family "Bacterial small subunit ribosomal RNA", at positions 777 to 1297 of the family's 1533-position model. The record is from RNAcentral.
AAUAGAUACCCGGGUAGUCCACGCCGUAAAACGAUGAGUGCUAAGUGUUAGAGGGUUUCCGCCCUUUAGUGCUGCAGCUAACGCAUUAAGCACUCCGCCUGGGGAGUACGGUCGCAAGACUGAAACUCAAAGGAAUUGACGGGGGCCCGCACAAGCGGUGGAGCAUAUGGUUUAAUUCGAAGCAACGCGAAGAACCUUACCAGGUCUUGACAUCCUCUGACAACUCUAGAGAUAGAGUGUUCCCCUUCGGGGGACAGAGUGACAGGUGGUGCAUGGUUGUCGUCAGCUCGUGUCGUGAGAUGUUGGGUUAAGUCCCGCAACGAGCGCAACCCUUGAUCUUAGUUGCCAGCAUUUAGUUGGGCACUCUAAGGUGACUGCCGGUGACAAACCGGAGGAAGGUGGGGAUGACGUCAAAUCAUCAUGCCCCUUAUGACCUGGGCUACACACGUGCUACAAUGGAUGGUACAAAGGGCUGCAAGACCGCGAGGUCAAGCCAAUCCCAUAAAACCAUUACUCAGUUCGGA